RNAcentral lists this unclassified non-coding RNA (326 nucleotides) under Hevea brasiliensis (rubber tree). Lineage: Eukaryota; Viridiplantae; Streptophyta; Magnoliopsida; Malpighiales; Euphorbiaceae. The record is from RNAcentral.
AACUGAUUUGCUUUCUAUGACUCUGGCAGUGCUUCAUAUAAAUAGGUAUUGUGCUAUAAACUUGAUCCAUUCCUUAUGAAAACUAGUUUUUCCAUCAAGUCAUAUCAAUCAAAUUAAAUUCUGUGAUCCAUCUUAGGUUACCGAAAAUUAUUCUUCAACUACAUUGCAGAAGGCAAGUGAAUAAAUAGAAAAGAAAUUAAAAAGCUGCUGCAAAGCAGUAAGAACUAGUAAAUAGCAUAGGAGCUAUCAUUCUGAGGAAAAGAAAAUAAAGAACUAGUAAAGUUCUGCAAAAGUGCUUAGCAAAUGAAAAUCUUGCCUUGCUUUUG